UACGGAGGGAGCUAGCGUUGUUCGGAAUUACUGGGCGUAAAGCGUGCGCAGGCGGUUGUGCAAGACAGAUGUGAAAUCCCCGGGCUUAACCUGGGAACUGCAUUUGUGACUGCACAGCUGGAGUGCGGCAGAGGGGGAUGGAAUUCCGGCGUGUAGCAGUGAAAUGCGUAGAUAUGCGGAGGAACACCGAUGGCGAAGGCAAUCCCCUGGGCCUGCACUGACGCUCAUGCACGAAGCGUGGGGAGCAACAGG
This 252-nucleotide ribosomal RNA is filed under the name uncultured bacterium. RNAcentral's name for it is "partial 16S ribosomal RNA". It matches the Rfam family "Bacterial small subunit ribosomal RNA", at positions 524 to 775 of the family's 1533-position model. The record is from RNAcentral.